Molecule: long non-coding RNA, 3398 nt
Filed under: Nicotiana tabacum (common tobacco)
Lineage: Eukaryota; Viridiplantae; Streptophyta; Magnoliopsida; Solanales; Solanaceae
Description: long non-coding RNA (NTAB_LNC010150)
Source: RNAcentral
UCAACCAACAAUAUAGUGCAAAGAUAUCACAAGUUAUGCCUCUCUCGGUUACAUGAACUAGUGAAUAUAGAUGCAACAAUUAAAUCUUCCAAAAUGAUUCAAUACAUAAAAUUAGAGUUAUACCCCCACAAACAUUCAUCAAUACACCAAAUCCAUCAAACCCUAAAGAGAACUACUCCAUAGAUAUGGGGAAAUUCAUCACAAAUAUAAUUAAAGUAUAGAAAAAUAUAGAUUCGAUCCAAACUCGGGUCUUGAGUGAAGAAUGAAUGAUGAAAUCCUUAUGCUUGUGUUCUUCCAACUCCUCCUUAGCUUCCUUAGGUCGAAAGUGUGUCCAAACUCCUCUCAUAAACUUGUUUCUAGUGUAUUUGUACCAAGUAGGAAUGAACCCGGACAAAACUACCCUCUUUGAAUCGAAGUGGGAAAACCUACAAACUUUUUACACUUCACGCGCCGCACUAUGCCACGUAGGGUGCAUAGCAUUAGUGCAAUUUGCUCGAUUGUAAACUCUCUGAACUUAGCUUGUCUAACAAAAUUUUGUACUGAUGCGAUGCACUACGCCACGCACUAUGCCUAGCAUUAGUGUAUAUUCUGUCAGAGCCAAAAACUCCAAGUCUCUGAACUUCUCAAACUUCUGACAAAAUUUUGUACUAAUGCGAUGCUUAAUGUCACGCCUUAUGCGACGCACUAGUACUUUUUUCAUCUAGCCCUUGGUCUUUCUUCCAACUUUCAUAUGCAACGCCGGUCCACGAUCCCUGGACACGAUCCUGGUUUAGUUCUUUGGCUUUUACUCAGACUUCAAAGAUCCAAUUAUUCGAUUUAGCUGCAGAACAUCUUCUUAACUCGGCAUCAUCUCCUAAAAAGCAUAAAACACACAAUCAGUGCAAAACACUACCAAUUAAAGCUCAAACACAAGUAAAGUGCAGUGAAUUAGAGUGCAAUAAGCGAUUAAAAUACGGGAUUAUAGCCUACCAUCAAUACAUCACAUAAGUACUGCCUAAGUCUACGUAGAAUGUUUCUCCAAUGUCUAUGUCACACCUCCUUUUUCCCGAGGGAUAGGGAGUUUUUCAAAUUAAAGUGAUAUUUUUCGAAAUGGGAUUAUUUAUUUAAUCGAAAUCGCAACUUGGAAUAAUUUAUGGUGUCCCAAUUUACCGAUUUAUUUUUAAAUCCCAAAUUGAGGAAAUUGACUCUGUUUUAAAGUCCGCAAAACUAGAAGAUCGAUAAGGAAUUUUGUUAACCCGGGAAAAAGUGUGAGGCACCCCGAGUUCCGUGGUUUUAGCACGGUCGCUCAACUAUUAAUAAUUGGCCUAAUUAUCUAAUCUAAUACAUGUUUAAAACCUAUUGUGUAUUUUUAAUGUUUAACCGCUUUUAAUAAAAUUUUAAUUGCUUUUAGAAUUUAUUUAAAUAAGUUGCAAUGUCGUGCACUCGUUUGGUUUUUGUACAUAUUGUGAAUUGCGUCACGUGAAACGCAUUCGCGAUUCACAACAUGUUGAUUUUAUUAUUAUUUGAAGUUAGAGUCGAGUCACGUGAAAUGCACACUCAAAUUAGGAUUUAUGUAUCGUGACCAUUUCCACGAGAACAUACCCAUGGCCAUGGUGGUCCAUUAAUCGUGCCUAGGGAUGACAAAAUAGUUCAAAGAAAAUUGUUAACCACACAUAUUAUCCACUAAAAAUGGAUUGGAUAAUGAACUUUUUAAAAACAGGUCAAAUAUGAAUAAGAACCAUAUUAUCCAUUUAGAAAAUGGGUAACCAAUGAGUAACCAAUGGGUCUAACUUUUAUAUUUGUAAAGCCUCAAAUUGGGGGUUCCUCAAGUUAGAGAGACUAAGAAUUCUCCAAAAAAUGAUCAUAUACAAGAAGUCAUGGAUAAUAUGAGUAACCCAUAUUAUCUGUCGGUUAAUCCAUUUUUUAUCCAUAUUAAAUAUGGGUCGGGCCAAAUAAUUGAUCCGUUUUGUUAUUAUUUGUUGUCAACUCGAACCAUAUUCGACCCGACCCGUCCGUUUGCCACUCAUAAUCGUGCCUAAAAGAAAACUAUGUUGUUUAUGAGUUAAUUAUUUUCCUAAGAUCUAGGGUUUGUUUGCGAGGAUCAGAAGGCUAUGGACUACAACAUUAGAAGAGCGUAAUGUGCGAAUUAUCCAAACCAAACUUUGAAUGAACUUCUUCUAACAGUUGCUUCAUCUUGGCAUUUGCAUUUUAGUCUUUGAAUGGGCUAAGUCCUCAUUAUCAAUAUUGUAACCUUGCUGAAUUCAAACAAAGAAGGAAGAUAAUAAAACUUAUUAUAUUAUAAACAAUUCCAUAGUAUACUACAUAUGUUGCCAUAUCACCUCAUAAUUGAACCGUUCACUUUGCAAAAUUAGUCCACUACGUCAGUAGGCACUUUUCCUUUGAUUAUUGCAUUCUGUUUCUUCUAUGAAAUCUUAAUGUUGACAAAUUGUUUAGCAUCACAUACUUCUUCAAAUUUCGUGACAUGAAUACAGUGCCGCAAGGACUCAAAAUUCAGAGAUGAAUAACAAACAUAACAAUCUACCCUUUGGCAAAUAAAUUUAACCAACUGGUGGCCAAAUCUACAAGUCAUGAGCUAAAUAAAGCGAGACAAAAUUGCAAGCAUACUCGAGACAACAUUAACAGUCACAAAUCAGAUAAUGAAAUUACACUCAACUAUCAUAUAAUCGUUUGUUUCAAUUCAGACAAUCAGGAACAAUAAUCUACGCACACAGAUCUUGAGUAAAGCACAUUUUGCCUUCACAAAUUGAUAAUUACAUACUUUUGAGAAGAGAAAAAUAGAAUACCUUGUUUAUGACAAAUUCUAAGGUAACAAAUCGGGAAGCAAGGGAAUAAUGGAGCUCAACAACUAUUCCAACAACUUAACAGCAGAAAUCGAACGUUGAUUUGAAUCAAAAUUCUGUUUAAAAACCCGAAAGUGUGGAAUAAACACAACAAUAGAAGAGCAAUUUCAAAAAUUGCGUUUGAUUCUAAUCUCUCUCUAAUUUUCGAACCUUUUGUUCCAAAGCUCAGAAAUGACUUUUGAAUUACAAAAUCGAUUUUAUAUUCUAGCCAGUGUUUUGAACAUGUGUGUAGAUGAGGGGAUAUUGUGUGUUUUUGGAUGGGAGUGGAGGGAGAGAAAGAAACAAUGAUGGAGGAAUAUGGGGGCUAUUAUGAUGGACGGAAGAGAUGAAGAGGGGGAUGGCGGCUCCUAGGGUUAGUCAAAUAGGGGAGGGGAUCUGUUCUUCUGUUGUGAAGAAAAGGGGAGGUCUGUUGGGGUUAAAGAGGGAGUUGGGUCGGGUUUAAAAAGAUCUGGGCUAGAGCAGAUUUGCACAAUUGGGCCAUUGAAAUUAUUCUUUGGCCCAAAUUCUAAGUAAGACCCAAAGAACUUUAAUUCCUCGUCUUUGCUUUUCUUAAAAAAU